AUAUUAAUAAGCGGAGGAAAAGAAACCAACAGGGAUUCCCUUAGUAACGGCGAGUGAAGCGGGAUGAGCUCAAGCUUAAAAUCUCUGUGCAAGUUUUGCAUGGCGAAUUGUAGUCUAUGGAGGCGCUGUCAGUGCGACUAUGUGAGUUAAGUUCCUUGGAAGAGGACAGCAUCGAGGGUGAUACUCCCGUAUGUACCUGUGUAGUUGCGCGUACGACACGUUUUCUUUGAGUCGUGUUGUUUGGGAAUGCAGCACAAAGUAGGUGGUAAAUUCCAUCUAAAGCUAAAUAUUGGUGCGAGACCGAUAGCGCACAAGUA
Molecule: ribosomal RNA, 317 nt
Filed under: uncultured eukaryote
Lineage: Eukaryota
Description: partial large subunit ribosomal RNA
Rfam family: Eukaryotic large subunit ribosomal RNA
Source: RNAcentral